AGCAACGCUGUGCACAUUCCACCCCGAGUUAAAUAGGACUUUUCUGAAAAUGCAGGUGUGGGUGAUUGCAGGGUAGAGCUCACAACAAAGGGAUUAGGUGUGCAGAGGGUGAUGUGGGAGCGAAAGGCGGGAGGCUGGGACCAGCCGCUGUGAUGGGGAGCCAGGGGAAGCCCUGACUCUCUACAGGCUCUGCUGUGAGAAAGCUGCAGGCGAGGGAGAGGCUGGAUGAGGCUGAGCUUUGGGCUGGAGAAGCCCACCCUUCCUCAAGCCUGUUCCCAGACCCCGGAGCGGCAGCCAAGGCUUCCCAGUGAAGUUCAGUGGCGUGCCGCUUCUGCAGGGGCACCGCGCGUCCAGCGCUAGGAUGGGUAAAUUCGGGAUGCUCACCUCCAAAUAGCAAGGCAAGUGCAAAUUCUGAAGGCCUGGGCUGCCGUCCCUGGGGCUGGUGGCUGGGGAAGGGGCUGCUCUCCUUCCCAUCGCACCAGGCUGUUAGCAUGCCCGGUCUGAAGACCUGUGCUGGUUAAAAGGCUGGUGCGGCAUGGCCAGCGGCCUGGCGGUGGUACAGUCCAGGAGGGUAAUGGGUAUUGGAUUGCUCCCUUAGGUCUGUUCUUGAACCUAAUCCUCAUUAGACUGAAACCCAUUUCAAUUAAGACAGGCUGGGCUCCUCCUUUGUCUUUCUUUUAAUUGGACCGUUCCCGCUGCUAAAUGGGCAGCUUAAGCAUCCCAAAGACCCUGAGAAAAGCCCGGCAUGUCCCCUAAUGGGGUUUGAAAGUGGAGAAAUAACAGCAUAAUCAGUCUCUUCCUCUUUGUGUCAGCCCUUGAUUCACACCGCCUGCCCCCCUCCCCUUCACACCCUUUCACUGAGUGGCUGCUGACAGAUGGGAACAGGACCGCCAUGUCAAUGGGGUUUGUCGGGGGCUUUCAUGGGCCCUGUUGCCAUUCUCUGUCCUUCUUCUUCGUCUACUCUUGGCCUUUGUGCCAAGACUGGGAACAAGCUGGGAAAGCUGAGCCGGUCCUGUAAAUACCUGCCUCCGCUGGAUCAGCUUAGGGCUUAAAGGACAAGACGGGGAAUACUUGGCAUAGCUCUUUAUCCCUUCCUCUGCUUGCCUUACUUUCCCUCCUUCAUCCUCUCUUGUUCCUUUUUUUUAGUAUUUAUAUACCCUGUUUUUCUCUCCCGUGCUCUUUGUAUCUAUCUAUUUUCCCUGCCCCUUUUUCCUCCAGCGGCCUUCCGUUGUCUCCCUCCGCUCUUAUUCUCCUUCCAGUGACCUCUUUGGUGGCCGUCACCGGUCGGAUUUUGCGUCACCCAGACCUCUCCUCCCAGGCUCCUGUGCAUCACCGGGAGCUUGCAGAAGAUGCGUGACCUGCUUCCAGGGGACCCGAAAUUGAGCCCUGCCUGCCCAGAAGAGCUCCUUCCAAAGAAGAAACCAGAAGGAGGGAGACAUAAUGACCAGGCUCAGCACUGGCCUCGCUGCCGCUUGCCAGCUCAAGCGUGAAGGGCCUGUGGAAAUGAAAGAGCUUUUUACAAGGGCUCCGUGGGAACGUGACCUGAAGAAAUCUGUGACCGCUGGAAGCAGAGGGACAGGGGAUGCAGGCUGCAUCCCGGCAAGCUACAGCUCCGGUCCUGCCUCCCAGCAUCCUCAACGUCUCCCAUUAAAGGAGGGCUCCCGAGAGCUGCGUGUCUUUGUGGUGUCUGUCCACUUAUCUGCGUGGGGAUGCUGGCUCCAGCCUGCAGCAGGACGGCUGCUGCUGCCGUCCCAGCUCUCCCGCAGCCCUCGGCACCCAACGUUCUCAGCUGGGU
Harpia harpyja (harpy eagle) is the source of this 1795-nucleotide long non-coding RNA. RefSeq lists it as uncharacterized. Lineage: Eukaryota; Metazoa; Chordata; Aves; Accipitriformes; Accipitridae. The record is from RefSeq and is a predicted model, not a curated record. The transcript is spliced from 3 exons.